AUUAUUUCUGAAAAGGCUAUAAGAAAAGUUUACAUUCUUUUUUUUUUUGAGAGAGAGAUAGAUAGCAUACUACCCGCUUCGUUUAUUUCAUUUAGAAAUAAACUUAGCUAGAAAUGUAAAUCAAUUAGGAUUCGAGCUCGGGACCUCGAGUACCAACCACCAAAUCAUUUACCACUUGCUCUAGAAACAGUCAGUAAAAUUUCAGAUUCUUGAUUUUUAAAAUAUCGUUUCUGAAUAAUAAUUAA
This 245-nucleotide long non-coding RNA is filed under the name Ananas comosus (pineapple). RNAcentral's name for it is "long non-coding RNA (ACOM_LNC004158)". The record is from RNAcentral. Lineage: Eukaryota; Viridiplantae; Streptophyta; Magnoliopsida; Poales; Bromeliaceae.